This 910-nucleotide ribosomal RNA is filed under the name Cladosporium magnoliigena. Its description in RNAcentral is "partial large subunit ribosomal RNA". It matches the Rfam family "Eukaryotic large subunit ribosomal RNA", at positions 34 to 969 of the family's 3401-position model. The record is from RNAcentral. Lineage: Eukaryota; Fungi; Ascomycota; Dothideomycetes; Cladosporiales; Cladosporiaceae.
CUAGCAUAUCAAUAAKCGGAGGARWAGAARCCAACAGGGAUUGCUCUAGUAACGGCGAGUGAAGCAGCAAUAGCUCAAAUUUGAAAUCUGGCGUCUUCGACGUCCGAGUUGUAAUUUGUAGAGGAUGCUUCUGAGUAACCACCGACCUAAGUUCCUUGGAACAGGACGUCAUAGAGGGUGAGAAUCCCGUAUGCGGUCGGAAAGGUGCUCUACACGUAGCUCCUUCGACGAGUCGAGUUGUUUGGGAAUGCAGCUCUAAAUGGGAGGUAAAUUUCUUCUAAAGCUAAAUAUUGGCCAGAGACCGAUAGCGCACAAGUAGAGUGAUCGAAAGAUGAAAAGCACUUUGGAAAGAGAGUUAAAAAGCACGUGAAAUUGUUAAAAGGGAAGGGAUUGCAACCAGACUUGCUCGCGGUGUUCCGCCGGUCUUCUGACCGGUCUACUCGCCGCGUUGCAGGCCAGCAUCGUCUGGUGCCGCUGGAUAAGACUUGAGGAAUGUAGCUCCCUCGGGAGUGUUAUAGCCUCUUGUGAUGCAGCGAGCGCCGGGCGAGGUCCGCGCUUCGGCUAGGAUGCUGGCGUAAUGGUCGUAAUCCGCCCGUCUUGAAACACGGACCAAGGAGUCUAACAUCUAUGCGAGUGUUCGGGUGUCAAACCCCUACGCGUAAUGAAAGUGAACGGAGGUGAGAACCGCAAGGUGCAUCAUCGACCGAUCCUGAUGUCUUCGGAUGGAUUUGAGUAAGAGCAUAGCUGUUGGGACCCGAAAGAUGGUGAACUAUGCCUGAAUAGGGUGAAGCCAGAGGAAACUCUGGUGGAGGCUCGCAGCGGUUCUGACGUGCAAAUCGAUCGUCAAAUUUGGGUAUAGGGGCGAAAGACUAAUCGAACCAUCUAGCGUAGCUGGUUCCUGCCGAGUCUU